RNAcentral lists this ribosomal RNA (255 nucleotides) under uncultured bacterium. Its description in RNAcentral is "partial 16S ribosomal RNA". It matches the Rfam family "Bacterial small subunit ribosomal RNA", at positions 99 to 354 of the family's 1533-position model. The record is from RNAcentral.
CGGACGGGUGAGUGACACGUGAGCAACCUGCCUUCGAGAGGGGAAUAACGGCUGGAAACGGUCGCUAAUACCGCAUAAUGUACGGAUGGGACAUCCUGUCUGUACCAAAGAUUUAUCGCUCGAAGAUGGGCUCGCGUCCGAUUAGGUAGUUGGUGAGGUAACGGCCCACCAAGCCGACGAUCGGUAGCCGGACUGAGAGGUUGAACGGCCACAUUGGGACUGAGACACGGCCCAGACUCCUACGGGAGGCAGCAG